This 467-nucleotide ribosomal RNA is filed under the name uncultured bacterium. RNAcentral describes it as "partial 16S ribosomal RNA". It matches the Rfam family "Bacterial small subunit ribosomal RNA", at positions 29 to 507 of the family's 1533-position model. The record is from RNAcentral.
ACGAACGCUGGCGGCGUGCUUAACACAUGCAGGUCGAACGGAAAGGCCCUGCUUUUGUGGGGUGCUCGAGCGGCGAACGGGUGAGUAACACGUGAGUAACCUGCCCUUGACUUUGGGAUAACUUCAGGAAACUGGGGCUAAUACCGGAUAGGAGCUCCUGCUGCAUGGUGGGGGUUGGAAAGUUUCGGCGGUUGGGGAUGGACUCGCGGCUUAUCAGCUUGUUGGUGGGGUAGUGGCUUACCAAGGCUUUGACGGGUAGCCGGCCUGAGAGGGUGACCGGCCACAUUGGGACUGAGAUACGGCCCAGACUCCUACGGGAGGCAGCAGUGGGGAAUAUUGCACAAUGGGCGGAAGCCUGAUGCAGCAACGCCGCGUGCGGGAUGACGGCCUUCGGGUUGUAAACCGCUUUCGCCUGUGACGAAGCGUGAGUGACGGUAAUGGGUAAAGAAGCACCGGCUAACUACGUG